RNAcentral lists this transfer RNA (72 nucleotides) under Camelus bactrianus (Bactrian camel). It matches the Rfam family "tRNA". Rfam says of the family: Transfer RNA (tRNA) molecules are approximately 80 nucleotides in length. The record is from Rfam by way of RNAcentral. RNAcentral also lists the same sequence under 2 other names. Lineage: Eukaryota; Metazoa; Chordata; Mammalia; Artiodactyla; Camelidae.
GACGGUAUAGCUCAGUGGUAGAGCGCGUGGUUAGCAUGCACGAGGUCCUGGGUUCAUUUCCCGGUAUCUCUA